ACCCACUCUUCAGGCUUGUCAAAGUUCCCUCUCUGCCGGUCUCCGAGUGGCCCCUGCCACCUGCCCGCCCCUCCUUGCCGGCUCUGGAAGCCUCGCCCCUGCGUGGACCAGCAGGACUGCUGCCCCAUUCUGCAGAUGAGGACACUGAGGGGCCCUUUCAGUGUCUGGGAAGCUCUCGCACCUUCUCCGAGGGGCAGACGCGUUUCCUUGGGAGGAAUGACGUUACACAAUCGGUCUGUCAAGAGGCCGCAUUCAAGAAUCCAGGCGAGACUGCUUCAGCUGCGGCGGCCGCUUUGAUUCACACACUCCUCGCGGGCACCACAGACCCCGGCUCCCCGCUGCCCCGAGAAGGCACAAACCACCCGCGAGGGAGCCCACACCGGAGCCAGAGAAAACACGGCAGGAACGGGGCUGUGCUUAUGGCGUGCGGAGGCCGUGCAGCCCGAAUUCCACAGCCGCACAGAAGUCUGUGUGGGGAUCAACACCCACUGUGCGGAGGGGCACCCUGAGGCACGCGCGCGCGCAAACACACACACACACACACACACACACAGCACACA
Long non-coding RNA from Myotis myotis, 560 nucleotides. RefSeq lists it as uncharacterized. Lineage: Eukaryota; Metazoa; Chordata; Mammalia; Chiroptera; Vespertilionidae. The transcript has 3 exons. The record is from RefSeq and is a predicted model, not a curated record.